CCUACGGGUGGCAGCAGUGGGGAAUAUUGCACAAUGGGGGAAACCCUGAUGCAGCAACGCCGCGUGAGUGAAGAAGUAUUUCGGUAUGUAAAGCUCUAUCAGCAGGGAAGAAGAUGACGGUACCUGAUUAAGAAGCACCGGCUAACUACGUGCCAGCAGCGGCGGUAAUACGUAGGGGGCAAGCGUUAUCCGGAGUUACUGGGUGUAAAGGGGGCGCAGACGGCAGUGCCAGUCUGGAGUGAAAGCCCGGGGGCCAACCCCGGAACUGCGCUGGAAACCGCGCGGCUAGAGUACGGGAGGGGCAGGCGGAAUGCCUAGUGUAGCGGUGAAAUGCGUAGAUAUUAGGAGGAACACCAGUGGCGAAGGCGGCCUGCUGGACAGUAACUGACGUUGAGGCUCGAAAGCGUGGGGAGCAAACAGGAUUAGAUACCCCUGUAGUC
This 440-nucleotide ribosomal RNA is filed under the name uncultured bacterium. Its description in RNAcentral is "partial 16S ribosomal RNA". It matches the Rfam family "Bacterial small subunit ribosomal RNA", at positions 338 to 795 of the family's 1533-position model. The record is from RNAcentral.